Molecule: long non-coding RNA, 482 nt
Organism: Drosophila hydei
Lineage: Eukaryota; Metazoa; Arthropoda; Insecta; Diptera; Drosophilidae
Exons: 3
Source: RefSeq, a predicted model, not a curated record
UGCACCUUGCUGGCUGGAAGUGUGGCAGUGUAACGCGAGCCUUAGUCUGGAUAGGACGGCAAUAUCAACAAUAAAAACAACAACAACAUAACGAUUUAGAUGCAUACAAGAACAAAAACAGCUACAAUAAAAACAACUUCAACUACAGCGACAACUUUGCAAACUCGCAUGCUAAAUAAAAAAUUAACCAAAAAGGCAACUCAAAAUUUGAAACUAAAUUCAGCUAAACAAAAAUAAAUAGUGAACUUUACACUUGUAAAAAUUAAAAACACAGCAACUUAAUACAUAAUAAUAAUACCAAUAAUAAACACGAUUGUGAUUCAUAAUAACUGAAAAGUAAAUAACUAAAAAAAAAAACAAAGAUCAUUAAAACAUAAAGCAACAAGGGAUAAAGCACAACAUAAAUCAAUUAAAGGAAACAAUAAUUUUUUGAAAAAUUCGACACCAAGUCUACACUGCAGGGCGUAAAUAAAUUACAGCAU